UAGAGAGAAAAAUAUUGAGAGAAAACCGGGAAAAAUCUUCAGAGCCUAGUCGAAAUUUCUAGGGUUUUAGCGACCGUUCUGCUUCAAGUUUUUUUUGAGUCUAUUUCUCUGUUUUCAAAAGAAGAUAAAAAAGAUGGCUUGAGUUUUUGGCCCUCAUUUGAGUUCAUAUUUCCAAAAAAAAAAAAAAAUUCAGAAGCAAAACUUUCUAGACUUAUUUCGUUUUUCUUGAUUUCUUUGUUCUAAAAGAAGGUUUUGGAUCGAAUUUCGAGUUUAAGUUUGUGGUUGGGUUCCGAACUUUAGUUAUUUUGGAUUUUCUGUCCAAUUUUUGGUCGAUAUUUGGAUUUGCUCGGUUGGUCUGUGGAGCUGUUGUUUUUGUUGCUGAAUCUCUCCUCCCAUUUCAGAGCUUUCUUUUGAUAUUUUUCAGCUAUUUUGCCAAUAGGUAUGUUCUCCUUAAAAUACCUUCAGAACUUUUUUUUAGAUGUGUAAUUCUGGAUUUUGUUUUAGCCUAUUCACUUGUUAUUACUUGAAUAUGGGAUUGUCUUUUAGUUCGUUUUUGUUGUUGCUAUCAGAACUUAUUAGGUUUGAUUUAUUUUCAGCAUUGAACAGAGUGUUUGUAGCUUGAUAAAAAUGAGAUUUUUGUUGGAAAUUAGAUCUCUUUGUUUACUGGUGUUUAUCUUUUGGUCUUGUUCUAGAUAGAGUGAAAAUGUUUGAUUAGUUUCCCUUACUCUGUUGAAUUUGGGUCAUACGUGGUAAGUUUCAAACUAAGGUCAACUAUUCUAUUUUGAUUCUUGUUCAAAGCUGGACGACAUUUAAAACUUACUAAGAAAUAUUUAUGUAGUUGAAAUCAUGGUCAAAAAAUCAGUCUCUCUUUGUGGAUCCACAAAUUCAAGCUAAUGACCAUGGGAGCAGUAAAAGAGUUAAUUUGUUGAAAAAGGGUGAAUUAAUAAGGUUUGGUUAAAUGAGUUAAAAUUCCAUGCUUCGAACGUUACUAGGCUUGAUUUUCUUACUUAGCUUUUAUUUACCUUUUAUUUUACUCUGUUCUUUUUGUUUCUCUUAAAAUAUUCUUCCUUGUCGUAUUCUUGUGUUAAGCUAAGUGUUAAGGACAGAAAUAAAAGAAUUGGGUUUUAACUUUAAAAGGAAAAAACAUUGGACAGGGAAUGUUGUUUUCUUAUGAAUGGAUGAGAUGUUUGAGGAUUACUCUGUUUUCUGGAAGCCAUCAAAUGGAGUGAAUGUAGGCUAAUUGAAUGGCACUUGCUGAAACUCCAAGUUUGAAAUGAUAGAAUUUAUUUGUUUAAUUUUACUUUUAAAGUUGGGGUCUAUGCAAUUCAUUAUGGUAUUCUGAAAGAUUUGUACAUAAUAUUAUGUUAACAUAAUUCAUGAUAUUACUGAUUAAAAGCCAAUUUUAUAGAUAUUUGGUUGAACCUUUACUUGUUUGAAUAUUGGUCAAGCCAUGGACAAUAAUUUAUCUUUUGUCUCUUCUGUAUGAAUUCAUGGACUCUUGCUUUAGGCAUUAAAAUACAAAGUCAAGAAUGUGAUUUUGCUUUCCAUUCUCCUUGCUGGAAAUUCAAAACACCUUUAUACUUAUGAAAGUGCAAUUCGUUAAUUUAGAAUAAGCUUUACUGCAUCAUUGGUUCAAGCAAGCUUUAUAUUAAGCUUAAUCUCUGUGCAUUUAUCCACGGGUCAUUUCUAUGAAUUUCUGAGUUUGUCACAUGAUCCCAAAUUAGCAUUAGAAUAACAACUCAUGAAUACUCGUAGUUUGCUUUAGGCUCGAUUUAGACUAGUAUUGUGAUCAUGUAUACGUUCGCGUAACAUAAUUGCAAAUUUAAUUCUUAAAAGACUCGAGGUAUGCAUUAGCGCAACUUCAACCAAAUUUUCUUAAUAAAUAAAUAAAACAUUAUUAAUUGUGGACACGUUCGCGUGAUAUGGUUUUUGACGCGCCAAAAGAAAAGAGUACACAUACGCGUAACUCGAUUCUUUAAUUACGAAUAAAUCAAGUUUUUUUAAAAGCGGUAAAAGAUAAUUGCACAUAGGUCUUAAAAAUAUGUUGUUAAACAAUUAAGCCAAAUAUAAAUUGUUAAGCGACCGUGCUAGAACCACGGAAUUCGGGAAUGCCUAACACCUUCUCCUGGGUUAACAUAAUUCCUUACCUAGAAUUUCUGGUUCGCAAACACUUUAAAAAUAAAACUUCCUCGAUUUAGGAUUUAAAAUAAACCGGUGACUUGGGAUACCAAAUAAUUUAUUCUAAGUGGCGACUCUGAUUAAUUAAUUAAUCCCAUUUCGAAUAAUGUCAGUUAAAUUGGAAAAACUCUCUUAUAUACCCUCGGGGUGUGUAAAAAAAAAGGAGGUGUGACAAUGAACACUCGAGAAGUGAAAGUCACAGUGAGAACAUCUCAAAAUAUCAAAAGACCUGCAAUUGGAAGAUCUCAAGGGCAAGGGGAAGAUUCACUAUCAGAAGCAAGAUUUCAAAAGACCCCGAUAUCUUGAUGAAAACCUACAUAGGUCUUUAGAAAAAAAAACUACCUCAAGAAGGACACAAAUGAAAAGAAAACAUGCGGUGAUCUUUAGAAAAAAAGAAAGUCGUGAAUUAAGUGUCGAAUUAGCGUCGAAUUAGCAAAGCAACAUCUAUUUUUUGUAUAAUUUGACGCUAAGUUGCGAAAGCACGUAAAUAUAUUCGCACUUCAAAAAAUAAAGAAGAUGCAAAGUGUACAGCAAAAUUUAUGAAUUUGUAUUUACAUAGUUAUAAAAAAGGGGGAGGGGGUGGGGAUGUACAAGAGAACUUUUAAGGAGAACUACGGGGACCUAAACUAUGGCCUGGGGAUUGGGAAGCGGAAGUAGAAGGGGCGUUUGGGUUAGCAUUGGUUUUCGCCGAAGGGGCAGAGGAAGUAGUGUCAACCUUCCCCCUCUUCGGUCUUCAUCAUCAAGGCCAUCAUCAUUUAAUUCCAUACUUAGCCCUUGUCUGUCAAGAUAAGGAAGACCAAGUAGAUGCCCAGGCUAAAUUGAAAACUAUCAUCUUCUGUACGUCCACAAAGGCCUCUUGAGCAGACUUCCGAUCUUUGUUAUUGGCUAAAACGCUCAACUCAACUGACUCUUAUUCAGAUCUUAUGCCAUGAAUCUUGGACUAUAACUAAGAGAAAUCCUCCCUCAGUCGUGCCUCUUUGCUCGUCUUCAAGGCUAGAUAUCCUUCGAGGGUUAGAAUUCUUUUGAAAGCCCUGAUCCACUCAGCUCAGAGGGUAGCCUCACUGGCUAAGAAUUCUUUCUUCUGAUCGGCAUUUCACUCUACUACUUUUGUUUGCACUAGGAGGGCCUCCUUCUCAGUUGUGUGCUCCUAGAUCACUUUUUGGACCUUCUCAUUUUCAAUCUUCAACAUCUUAUCAUAUCUUACCACCUCCCUUUCCAUGGCCAUAUCGAUUCGAACAUUUUUCAGGGUCCUCUAGGAUAGAGCACUAAGCUGUUUCAGAAUACAAAAAGCAAGUAAGAUAUCUUUAACAUGAUAAGUACAAAAAGAGGGUCAGUAUAGCUAACCUUAGCAGUCUUAUGAGAUAUCUGAGUCACCGACGCCUCAACACUCAUAAACUCUAUUUUGGCCCAUUCCUGCUAGUUCAGCAACUUUGCAAGUUGUGCAGCCACGGGCCUAGGGUUUGUGAAGACCCCCUCCUCCAUAGGAUAAUAAAAACUUAACAACUUUCUGAUUUCCAGCUGGUAGGCACGUAGAACCCACGAUUAACCGAGCCUCAAAACUGUCCCUCGAAUGGAACCUCACAUCUGCAGGUGGGUUGGUAGCGAUUGAUUGAUCCUUUGACUUUUAGGUAAGCGUAGUAGUCAUCCCUCCUCGGGCCUUAAAACUACAUGACGAGAGGCCUCCUUAUCAAAAUCGACCGUGAUGGGAUAGGAUCAAAUCAGCCUAUCAGUAUCAUCCUCCUGAGCAAGUUGAGAACUGCCCUAGGGAACCUCUACUUCAGCCCUAGGGCAUACUCUCCUUUGAAAGACUUGCCGCUUUCAGGUGACAACAUGAAGGUAGGUUUCGUGGAAGUGUCGGCACCAUCCCCCCGAGGUACUUAGGGAAGAAGUUCCCAAAUUAACCUUGAGGCAGUGACCACAGAGGGGAGGCUAGCUAGGGCAUGUAACUGAAAAAGGGACUCUCUUAUGGAGUCUCACCCUUGCUAGGAUUUUUUUCACAUCAAUGGAAAGAAAAGGGGAUAAAAUAAAGAUUCCACAAGGAAAGAAUUAAAUUCAUGAUUAUUGUGGUACAACACUUUAAUACCACCGAGCUUACUAGAAAUGGAUUUCUAAAUCCUCGAGUAGUUGGUUGAAACUUGUAGGAUCUCAAAUGCAUAUCCUUUAAUGUUGGGCACUCUUUCGAGAGGCACAACGAUGGCUGCAAAAACAUUGAAAAUUUAAUAAUUCAAGGUAUAUUACUGAAUCAUGAUGACUUGAAUUAUGAUUAAGAUUCCACUUCCUAGGAAUUGGUUAUUAUCGUUUGUGUAAAGAAAUUUAGUACGAACUACCAAGUGCCUUUCGAAACACCGGUAGUAAUAGUCGUCUCCAUAGUCAGAUAUCAGAGCCUACAAGCCUCGCUGCAACAUGUUAAUUAUGCCUCAUCGAUAAAUCAUGUGGGAGUAAAGGUGAAGGAGAUGCUAAAAACUGAGGCUAACUCCAGCUUUUUCAGCUAGGUGGCGGAGACAUAGAACCUCGGAAUGCAUCGAACAAAUAUAGAGUUUGAUUUUUUAUAAACAAGACAUUUUAAAGAAAAGUAAGGAAGAUGACAAAAACUCAGAGAAAUUAAAACUUGAAAGCUCGAAAGAGAUAAGUAGGUAUCAAUGGGACCUCCUUCCUCUUUUUAUAUUUGUCCAUGCGGUAUAAACUUUAGAGCCUCUUGGAACCAAAUUUGACGAAAAAUUUUAUUUUGUCUCUCAUACAACUGACACUAAUUGUAUGAGGUAAUUUUUUUGUCUCACAAUUUUGUGGACCCAAAAGUAUAAGAUUGGGGUCCACAAAUUUAUGAGAUAAAAAGGAAUCUAGUAUAAGUUGUAUAAGGCACAAAAUAAAAUUUCUCAAAUUUGACUAUGUGUCCAAAACAUUAAGUGGUGGCUAUGUCAAAUGCUAGGUACUUGAAAGGAUGCAUGACAAGAUUGGUGCAUCUUUUUACUUCAUCUUGCCCGAGAAGUAUUGAAUGUAAUUCAAAAGGAAUCUAGUUCGGACACGUGUUGUUCCAGCAUGCAGCGGAUGUCCCUAUGGUCUUAAGGAGUUGACACCAUUCGAAUAUCAACUUUUGCUUCAUGGAUAAGCUAUCUGGGACUGUGAUAAGUCCAUUCAAGAUCCGGAGAGGUAUAUCUGAUACAGUUCAAAUUUAUAAUUUGUUGUAAAAGGAAAAAAAAAGAUGGAAGGCAAACUGAUUUUAAUAUACUUAACGAGGUUCAUUACAAAAUGAGGAAUGACCUCGAACAAAACAAACACAAGAGAAGAAAAGAAGAAAACUUGGCUAACAAAGUAGUGAAUGUACUUAAACUCCUAGAUACCACUAUGGAACCCUCAAUGGUUCCCACUCACCGACUGCAGAUCUGAGAUGAAGGCCCGAAUGAAGGAGACCAGGAAGUUGAUGGACUACUCCAAGUGGUCGAAGGGCUAGGGCGCAAGCUAGGAGGUUCUUCAUGGUUGCCUUCCUCCGAGGGGUCGGUGUCGCACCCUUUUUUCUUGUGAAAGCGGGUUUGACAUCGUGAAAACUUCUUUUUGAAUGGGAGAUAGAUUAUUAAAAGAGAAGAGUCGCCACCUAACAAUUUUUAAGGUGCGCUAGGGCACCUAUUAUGCAGAUAACUUUAUUUGACUAGUCAACGUCACCAAAGAUCGGGUAAGGGCUCAAAUUACCUCAAAGAGAAGGUGUUAGACACUCUUCGAGGUCUACGACUGUGGGUCUCGGCCAAACUUAAGAUCAUGUGGAUUAUAAUUAGGCUAAGUGAUCAGAUAAACAAAGGGAAUAUAAAGGUCAAAGAAUUUUAUUGCAACACGAUUGGUACAGACCUUGAUAUGAAUAUAGGGAUACAACUAGUUAGAUCUAAUAGCAACAUGGGGGGAGGGUCCUAUGUUUUUUAGCCUAAAGGAUCUCCUCGUGCACAUAAAUAAUACUUCGCAACUCCCUUGAGAUAGGGAGUUACUCAUAUUAUUCAGCGGGCACAGACUAUCAUUCCCUGCUACUCGAUUACUAUGUUAAAGUUAUUUACCUGAAGCGUGCUAAUUCAAUUCUAAGUUGUACUUUAUGUGUGCACUAUCCGUCCCAUUCCUAUGGUCCAGGAGGUAUUGGACAUCUCCUUGGAUAGUUCUUAACAUUACUUAGGCUGCUCAGAAAUGUCAAAACUAGGCGACAUACAAAACACAUAUUGGACUUCAAAUAUGGGCAAUUAAGGGCUCAAGUUUGCCUCCACACUUAAGCAACAGAUGCACGCAAGGCAGGUUUUCAUGUUAGUCAAUUCAGAGUUUAGAACCUUAAGCUCUGUAGACAUGAUUUUUAUAUGACAAUGCAUUAAAACAUACAAGCAGUUUCAGAGGCUAGACGCUGCUCAAAGACAUAAUUAUACACGCUGAUUAUUGGGAUUACAGAUUUCCAGUUAUUAAACUUGUUGUGUCUAGAUGACUUGCGGAACAAGGAGUAAUGAAAACUAUUGGGAGAAGCCCAGAACUACUUAUGCUUGCUACCAGUGGCAUAAACAAGCAGUGAACAAUGUUUGAGAGGUUCAACAUUAAUAAUUAUUAAGGCGAAUAGUGAUAUCCUAUAGACAGGAUCUCAAACGAUUAACAUUUGGAACCAAUUUUACUGUUAUACUUAGCCCUAUAGGCAUGUUUUCUAGGUGAAGAGUGCAAUACAUUAGCAAAUGAAGUGAUCAAAAUCCUAUAGGCAUGAUUUCUAAUAAAUAGUGCGAUACAAUAGCAAAUGAAGUAAUCAGAAUCCUGUAGGCAUGAUUUCUAGUGAAUAUGAUGAUGCAAAUUGAAAGAAAAUUCAAUGAUAUUUAUUUUCUAUGGGCAUGUUUUCUAGUAACAUAUAGCAGUAGGAAUAAUUGGGACAUUUAAAUUCAUGUUCAGACAAGUAGUGCGAGUGUGUACUUCUCCUAAUAAAAUGAUUUCUACAGUACACAUAUAGAUCGAACGACAUAUAUAGCAAAUAAAUCAUUAAGUCCUAUAUGCAUAUUGUCUACCCUUUUUCAUGCAAACAUUAAGAACCUACCCAUUCCCCACUUUUACUAACACCCAAUUAUUCAUUACAAAAUUAUUACAGAACCAAUGAUAAAGUAAUUACAAAUAUUAUACAAAUAAUGACAGUAGGCCCACAGUAGCCCAAAAGAAAUACCCAGCACUGUUUGGGCCUUCAGCAAUUCUCACGUAGCAUAUCCAGAUAUCCAACAAGGAGCCAUAUUCAUCAACAUAACCCAGAAUCCAUAGAAGAGCUCAAAAACCAAAUCACACAACCAUAGAUUAACCAUAUUGCCAAGCGUUGAAUCACUUACACCAAUCAGCUUACAUAUUCAGCAGAUAAAAGGCAGAAAGGAUUGAGUGUUAGGAAUAAUUCAGGUCUCAGUAGUAGAGGGAGUGACUAAAAGACCCCAAAUCCUAGUGUGUCAGAGUUCACAAAGAUCUCAAAUGGACUCGAGCAGUGCUCACACUAGGUAGGUCAGUAGUAAGAGCCUUGGUGGCCUUGGCUUCAGCCGGUCAAGAAUGAGAGGUUCAGUAUAGCAUAGGUAACAAAUGAGAGAGAGAGGACAAUGGUUGAGGGACAGAAGUUGAGGGGAUACUCGUAUAACUUAAAGUAGACAUAGCAAGGUUGAGAACACAAAGCAACUAAUUAAACAUGUCACAAGACUUAAAAUUAGGUUCAUCAGGGGUUUAGAAGUAGGUUCAACACUUAGUAAAAUAACAAAUAGACAGCCACAUAUUGAAAGAGUUAGGGGAGAAAGAAGUUUGCAGGAUAGUCAAAGAUUAUCAUGUACAAAUGCAUAAUACACAUCGAAACCUAAAAGGUCCAAAUUGUGCUAAGAAUAUAUCCCAGUGUCAUAAGGCAGACAUAUUAAUUCUCAUCAGGAACAAAACAACAUUCAGACAUGAUAGGGGAACACACGUUGUGACCAGUCAAGUAAUCACUGAAGGAACAGGGAAUCAAUUGAGCCAAAGACAUGUUAAGGGACAUAUUAGCAGCAGGCAAGAUCAUAGAUAAAUAAAUAAAAAGGUUUUAACCCAGAUUAGAACACAUUACAUAUGUAAGACAAUCAUUGUAGAGAUUCAGAACAGAGUGGGAAAGUAAACUCAUAUCAAAUUGAAAAGGUAGGCAUUCAAACAUUGACCAGUAGACUAAUUAACUAAGGAAGGUCCAAGUUAUGCUAGGGAUUCAUCAUGAAACAGUUCAAUCACGGUAGGGGAAACACAAGUUGAGUUAUCUGUUCUAAAACCUCAAGUAAUCACUAAAGGGGUAUGGGAUCAAGUGAACAUGCUGAGGGACACUAUAGCAGAGAAACAAUUCGUAGUUAAUAGUGAAAGUCUUAACUCAGGUUAUUAAAGAUGUAGGGCAUUCAUUAUAGAGAUUCAGGACAAAGCAGGUAAGAAUAUUCAUGAAUAUCCAGGCACCAAUACAUUUAGCUAAAUGAGCUUGGGAGGGUUCAGAUUAUCCCAAUUAGCAACAUUAGGGGAAAUUUAAUGCCAAAGAGACUUAAAACGAGUGUGAAGCUAACAAAAUUGUGCAUAAAAACCAAAAAUACAUUAAGCCAUAGAUUUCAGAAGUGAGAACACAUGCAAAUCAGAAACACAUAAAAUAUGAAAUUGCAAAAGGUCAAGCGACAUACCAGCUAAACGGACAACAAUAAAGAACAAAAGAUCCACAAGAACCCAAAACCUCAAUGCGUCAAAGUUCCCAAGAGCUUCAAAAGGACCCCGGGCAAUGCUCACACCAAGACAAAGUUUGAACAAUAGAGUCUUAGUGACCUUGGCUCUCAUCCGGCCAAAAACAAAGUACAAAACAAGAGAAUGAGGGAAUCACAGAACAAAGCUCCAAUGUUUAGUGAAAAUAUAGUUACUAAAGUCUGUCUCAAAGGGGAAUGGGUAGGGGUUUAAAUAGCAGUAAAAUUGGACGAAUAAAGAAGGAAACAAAGUAAAUCAAACUUAAAAUAAGGAAAGAAAUCAUGCAAAAAUUGAUAUAGAAUCAAUUUAGGAGAGAAACGGGUAAACCCUAGUUCAAGAGGGAAAACACAAAUCGAAAGAGAUCUCAAUGAAAUCGGACUCACAUAGCAUGGUAUUAGGUGUAUAUAGACGAUAUGAUGCUCAAAAUUAAAAGGUUCAAACAACUUUAGUUUGAUCUCCGCAGAUAUCACUUGCCAAACUUAGGCAAGCACCUAAGUAAACCACAAAUGGACAACUAGCAGCGAAAGGAGACCAAUAAGGUAAGUGAAUCAAUGAUUGAUUUCAUUUUAGAGCCGGAUUUGGAGAGAUUGAGAGAUAUUGCAGCUAGGGUUCGUGAAAGAGAAGAGAGUGGAGAGUGUUUGAGGGCAACUAGUGAAAAGAAAUGGGGAUUAGGGUUUGGGUGAGGGGAUAUUAGGAGAGUGGGGGAAAUGUUAUGAGUCGUUGAGCAAUUUUGAUCAAUGGCUGGGGUUUUUUUGGGACUGGGUUGGGAAUUGGGUCAUUUGGAGUGUGCUUAGGGGUUAUUAGGCUGAUUUUGGUCCGAAAAUUAGCUCAAAGUUUGGGCCAGCCUUUUAAAUACACAUAAUUUGUCAAAAAAUAAUUUAUAAAAAUGAUUCGUAAGUAAAUAAAAAUAUUUGUAUGCACUAAAACCAUUUAAAAUAAUAAUUUAGAAUUAUAAAAAUAUAAAAUACUAUUUUGACAUAAAUAAUAUAUAAAUAAAGACCGUUUGUGUAUGAGUAUAGGUUAUAUUUUUGCAAAAUUGUGCAAAUAGCUUUUAAAAAUGCUAAUGUAAUUAUAUAAAAUGAAGUAAAAUAUUUGAAACAUAUUACAGGUGCAACUAAUAAUUUUAGGUAACUAAGUUAUCACAAAAAUAAUUUAAAGGAGUAAUUAAUAAUUAUUCAAGUAAUUUAAAUGCAGAAAAAUCAAUUUAAAAGCUCUAAACAUUAUGAAAAAUUAUAAAAAAAAAUGCUUGUAUUGAUUUGUAAACUAUAUAAUGAUGCAAAAUUAAUGUAUUGAAAGUAUAUAUAUUUUGAGAAAAUAUGAGAGCAAAAUUGGACAUCAACAGAUGCCCCUCUUUACCGGGAAUGAUGAAAGAAUUAUCGGGUAAAGAAAAUGAUGACCAAUUUUGGCCGAAUUAAAUGAGGGAUGAUAUAAUUUGAAACAAUAUGUGUCGAACCCUGGUUCCUGAAUUGCCUACAUAUCCCUUGUAUUACGGGAAUCAAGCCGUCUGUAGUUCCGGAUCGAACGGCGAACGAAAUCGAUGGGGUUGUUAUAAGAAUGAUCGUAUGUUUUGGAAAGGGUUCUUUUUGGUAGGAUAGUAUCAGAUGAAUUUAUACGAAAUCAUGAAUGUGAAUUCGAAACAUUACGGAUGUAUCACAUAGCAAAUAUUUGAACGGUCAUAGAGUAAAAGGCAGGAAUUAAUAGUGGCCGGUUAAGUUUGAAAUAAUCGCAGGAUGUGAACGUUAUGAACGGGAACCAGAGAAAAAAUUGCUCCCAUUAGGAGAAUAGUUACCUCCUGGAUUACCUACAAAACUUUAACAUGGCGCAUGCGAAUAUAUACAGGUUAUUGCGAGAAUUUAGGCGUGAUGAAAAUUCCCUUUGGACCAUGAAGGUUGUAUUUAGACGAGAGGAUAAUGUCCUUAGACCACGACGUCCUGGGCCAUGAAUCGUGUGAUAAGGAUUCACAGGCCAUGAAAUUAUGUCCUCUGGCCAUGAGGAUGGUGCCUCUGGACUAUGAUGCCUUUAAAUAAUGAUGUGCACUUUUGAGAGAUCCUCAGGACAUGGAAUGGUAUCUCCCGGUUAUGAGAAUUAUGCCUUCGGACUAUGACGCCUUUGGACAAAUUGGAGAUGUUUCAGCCCAUGAAAUAUAAAAGAUAUGAUGCUUGAUCAUAUGUGAAAUAAGACAAGACAAGGCUUAGUCUUGUGUAAGAUGAGGGCAGUGCUUAGCCUAGGUGAAUAGAUGAUGGUACUAGGUCUUAGAUAGCGUAAUGGAGAUAGUAUUUAAUCUAAUGCAAGGAAGAGGCAAUGCUUAACCUUAUACAAUUAGGGAGGCAAUGCUUAGCCUCAUGUAGGAAUAAGAGACAAUGCUCAGUCUCGAUGCAAAGAAAGGUAGUACUUAGCCUUAUGCAUUUAGGGAGGCAAUAUUUAGCCUCAUGCAAAGAGGAGACAAUGCUUAGUCUCAUGCAGGAAAAGGCAGUGCUUAGCCUUAUGCAAUUAGGGAGGCAAUGCUUAGCCUCAUGCAAAGAGGGAGACAAUGCUUAGUCUCAUGCAGGGAAAGCCAGUGCUUAGACUUAUGCAAUUAGGAAGGCAAUGCUUAGCCUCAUGCAAAGAGGAGAAAAUACUUAGUCUCAUGCAGGGAAAGACAGUGCUUAGCCUUAUGCGAAUAGGGAGGCAAUGCUUAGCCUCAUGCAAGAAAACAAUGAAUGAUAGUGAGAAAGUAAAGUAUUUCUUAGCUGGAGAUGUUUGCGCUAGAUAAUUUGUUGUCUUGAAAGUAGUGACUUGAUGUGUCUAUGGAUAUCGUUGUCUUAUUUUUCCUGCAUCCAAAGAAAAAUUGUGAGUUUUGUGGGGAAGGUUGGUUCGUGCUUUCAUUUUCCUGCUCUAUCUUUGCUCCUGCCUUGAGAUCCUAUUUGAGUUACCCUAGGUAACAUCUGGCUAUCAUAGAAAUAAAGUUUUCAAAAAAUAUGCAUGCAUUUGAUAAAUAUAGUUAUUUGAAAUGUAGUAGUAUGGGAUAUCAAGUAAUUUAGAUGAGCCAAUGACUGUGACAUAUUUUAGAGACAUUGCGUCCUCCUUGCUUUAGAAUUUUGAGGGUCCCCCUCAAAAUUCUACCCCAGUUUAAAUGCAACCUUUUGAUUGUUCCGCGUAUGACGAAGUUAGCUGAAUUUGCUUUAGAAUUUUUAGGGUCCUCCUCAAAAUUCUGCCCAGUUUCUGAUCAUGGCAAAAAUGAAGAUUUUAAUAAGACACACAAGGUUGUCUACGUAUCUCCUCUUAAACAGGAAUCAGGUCAAGCGUAGUUCAGAUAUAUCAAAUGAAGAAAUGUAAACAAUCCUAAACAUAGUAUCUCUUGACUGCGCCUACGUUGAUAGAUUUUUGCCAAAUCUCUCUACCCAUUUCUGCAAGUAUAAGUGCUCAUCCUAUUCGUACUUGAUAAACCAUGUAGGUCUUGACAAUUGGGUGAUAAUUUCCCUUUUGCUUCAUCUUGAUGCGGGAAAAUUCACUUGAGC
This 12371-nucleotide long non-coding RNA is filed under the name Nicotiana tabacum (common tobacco). RNAcentral describes it as "long non-coding RNA (NTAB_LNC003995)". Lineage: Eukaryota; Viridiplantae; Streptophyta; Magnoliopsida; Solanales; Solanaceae. The record is from RNAcentral.